RNAcentral lists this ribosomal RNA (255 nucleotides) under uncultured bacterium. Its description in RNAcentral is "partial 16S ribosomal RNA". It matches the Rfam family "Bacterial small subunit ribosomal RNA", at positions 524 to 776 of the family's 1533-position model. The record is from RNAcentral.
UACGGAGGGGGCUAGCGUUAUUCGGAAUUACUGGGCGUAAAGCGCACGUAGGCGGCUUUGUAAGUAAGAGGUGAAAGCCCGGAGCUCAACUCCGGAACUGCCUUUUAGACUGCAUCGCUUGAAUCCAGGAGAGGUGAGUGGAAUUCCGAGUGUAGAGGUGAAAUUCGUAGAUAUUCGGAAGAACACCAGUGGCGAAGGCGGCUCACUGGACUGGUAUUGACGCUGAGGUGCGAAAAGCGUGGGGGAGCAAACAGG